CCUACGGGUGGCAGCAGUGAGGAAUAUUGGUCAAUGGACGAGAGCCUGAACCAGCCAAGUAGCGUGAAGGAUGACUGCCCUAUGGGUUGUAAACUUCUUUUAUCUGGGAAUAAAAUGUUCCACGUGUGGGAUUUUGUAUGUACCAUAUAAAUAAGGAUCGGCUAACUCCGUGCCAGCAGCCGCGGUAAUACGGAGGAUCCGAGCGUUAUCCGGAUUUUUUGGGUUUAAAGGGAGCGUAGGGGGAUUGUUAAGUCAGUUGUGAAAGUUGGCGGCUCAACCGUACAAUUGCAGUUGAAACUGGCAGUCUUGAGUACGGGAGAGGUGUGCGGAAUUCGUGGUGUAGCGGUGAAAUGCUUAGAUAUCACGAAGAACUCCGAUUGCGAAGGCAGUUCACUGGACUGCAACUGACGCUGAGGCUCGAAAGUGUGGGUAUCAAACAGGAUUAGAUACCCGAGUAGUC
Molecule: ribosomal RNA, 460 nt
Filed under: uncultured bacterium
Lineage: Bacteria
Description: partial 16S ribosomal RNA
Rfam family: Bacterial small subunit ribosomal RNA
Source: RNAcentral